GUUGUAGCUAUCAUGCUAGACUUAUCUCAUGGUGUGUCUCAAAUCGCGCACUUCUGUACUUAUACUAACUAUUUGAGUACACUCAAAAUUUAACUCGUCGAAGUGUGGUAAAUGCAGUGCACUACAAGUACCCGGAUGGUGCACUCAUAACGGUGAAAAAGUUGAGUGUGGAUCGAUGGACACUUUCCACACUCAACUGUCGCCAUCUUGGCUACGUAGCGGAAGGGGCGGAGCUAACAAAAGGUGAAAAACUUUCGAUAAUGGCGGCCGAAUACGCGACAGCGAGACCCAAAUGGACACGGACAAUGCUGCCAACUUGAGGGAAGUCCUCCUCUGCUGAAAGGCGAACAACCUGGGGGAGGAGAGUGAGGAUUUCCCUGCUGGUCUUGUGGACAGCACUGUGCACUGUCAGUGUGCAAAGGCUCUGGCUAAACCACGAUCAGAUGUACCGCUGGCGAGCCAAAAGAGGAAGACAAGGGCCUCGAUGACGGGUCCCACGCCGUGCCGAGGAUGUACCGUUAAAGGAUCCUGCUGGAGAGUCUGAAGUCCACCCUCAUAUCACUUUCCCCAUCAAAGUACAGGGCCAGCAAUGAAUAGAACAAUAGGAUCUAUUUAAAUGUCUAUUGUGUUGCCUCUGCUUUCACUCUUGUAUUUUCACUGUAAUUAAUAGCUAUUGCAAUAAACACCCUUUAUAUAAACAUA
Perca fluviatilis (European perch) is the source of this 702-nucleotide long non-coding RNA. RefSeq lists it as uncharacterized. Lineage: Eukaryota; Metazoa; Chordata; Actinopteri; Perciformes; Percidae. The record is from RefSeq and is a predicted model, not a curated record. The transcript is spliced from 2 exons.